Botryobasidium botryosum FD-172 SS1 is the source of this 91-nucleotide transfer RNA. It matches the Rfam family "tRNA". Rfam says of the family: Transfer RNA (tRNA) molecules are approximately 80 nucleotides in length. Their secondary structure includes four short double-helical elements and three loops (D, anti-codon, and T loops). Further hydrogen bonds mediate the characteristic L-shaped molecular structure. tRNAs have two regions of fundamental functional importance: the anti-codon, which is responsible for specific mRNA codon recognition, and the 3' end, to which the tRNAs corresponding amino acid is attached (by aminoacyl-tRNA synthetases). tRNAs cope with the degeneracy of the genetic code in two manners: having more than one tRNA (with a specific anti-codon) for a particular amino acid; and 'wobble' base-pairing, i.e. permitting non-standard base-pairing at the 3rd anti-codon position. Lineage: Eukaryota; Fungi; Basidiomycota; Agaricomycetes; Cantharellales; Botryobasidiaceae. The record is from Rfam.
GGCCGGGUGGCGUAAUGGCAACGCGUCUGUUUCCGGUUAUCUAAUUGAAAAUCUCAGCAGGAGAUUGUGGGUUCGAGUCCCAUCCUGGUCG